CCCCACUAAGGUUCACACCUGGAGAGUUUCCAGUACUCUACCAGUCUCAGCUAUGAGAGGGAGGGUCAAGCAGAGGCCUGUCCAUUCCAUUCCUAGUUUGGGCAGUGGCCAGUGAUUGGAAAGCAAUCUGCUACAAAU
Small nucleolar RNA from Ornithorhynchus anatinus (platypus), 138 nucleotides. Lineage: Eukaryota; Metazoa; Chordata; Mammalia; Monotremata; Ornithorhynchidae. The record is from RefSeq and is a predicted model, not a curated record.